Molecule: small RNA, 118 nt
Filed under: Marmota monax (woodchuck)
Lineage: Eukaryota; Metazoa; Chordata; Mammalia; Rodentia; Sciuridae
Source: RNAcentral
GCUGGAAACAAGUGACACAUGCUUGUAGCCCCAGCUACUUGGGAAGCUGAGGCAGGAGGAUCCCUUGAGCCCAGGAGUUUGGGGCCAGCCUGGGCAGCAUAGUGAGACUCCAUCUUUU